UUCCAUUUCAAUUGAUUUAUUUCAUAUCAAAUAUUUCAUUGUAAAUAUGUUAUUAUAAAUGUAUAAUUCCUGAGAAUUAUUCUGAGAACUAGUUAAUACUCCCAGAUCAAUGGAUUGAUUAAUUUAAAAGCACAAACAACCCUGAGCUCAUCAUCAAAAUGACAGAGUUACCCGACAUCAUUUUAAAAAAUAGCAUUUCGAUCUGCAACACAACAUACAACACAUGCGAUUGUCAUUUGCCUACAACAAAUUUCUCUCUGGAGAUGACUUGAUGUUCAAUAGCCUACAGUGCACUUGACACAAAUGUUACAUAACAUAGUUUAAAAUCAAUUCAACCGUCCCUUGAUUCUUAUUUAAAUACAAUGAAUCACAGUAAUAGUCAGCUAAUUUGCUCUGAAAUACAUAGUCCGGUGGGCAACCUUUUUAAUCCCCGGUUUAGUCCUAAAGCAAGAGAGAGCCACCGUGAUCAACCUGCUCGAAUCGAUUCAAACCUGCACAAGGGGCUGCACUGGAACACUGAAUUUUUAUGAAGCGCACCGACCAUCACACUGUUGUCAAACGGAUUGAUGGAAAGAAAUAUGAGUAUAGGUUAUUGCAAUUACCAACCUAAAUUGACAAUAGGACACAUGUUGGUGGCAUUAGUAGCCUCAUAUAUUUGUCUUUCACAGUACUUAAAAUGUCAUCCUGAGGAAUCGGCCAGAAACUUUCCUGGUUGAAGGGUGCUCAUUAGCUGGAGGGGGACAGUGAUCUACAUCUACACUGUGACAGGGACCAUGCUGCUUCUUCUUCCACACAUGAUAAAGAUGUCAAACCACAGAACGUGUCUGUCAAAAAGUUCUACUUCUGAGAAUGUUCUCAAGGAAUGAUGCUUGAUAACUGCAUGGCUGGAAUUGAAGUACUGUGUUGCUCUAUUGGUAAGAGCAGGACACUAUCCAAACCCAAGGUUGUGGGUUCAAUUCCCACAGGGAUUACAAAGGCCUACACAAAAUGUAAGAACUGUCCUAUGCUGUAAGUCAAUUUGGAUGAAAGUGUCUGCACAGUGGCAUAUAGUGUUAUUAUUAUUCAGUGUGGUUGUUGUGAAAGCCAUGCUCUGGCACUGUGAGAGUGAGUACUGGGUCGGUAGCUGGGUUCAAGCUGGGUGUCUGGGCCAGGCUAUGUUAAACCAACAGAGCCGGGCGGCAGGACCGAUGCCAGCCCUGCCACCACUGGCCAGGGAGUUUGAAGGGCGGCUUCCUGACAUCUCUUGGGAUGCAGCGACUAAACAUGAGACUGAGAUAACAAAGAAACAAAACUAUAGACAGCAGGCUCUGAUGGAGAAUAGAGGACUCCAACACAGGUUGUCUUGUCUCUCCAUCAGUUGGGAGUUUGCACAGUCUGUCAUCCAAGAGGCAAGAACACCAAAUAGUGUCAUGACUAAUCAAAUCAAGUCAAAUGUAUUUAUAUAGCCCUUCGUACAUCAGCUGAUAUCUCAAAGUGCUGUACAGACACCCAGCCUAAAACCCCAAACAGCAAGCAAUGCAGGUGUAGAAACACAGUGGCUAGGAAAAACUCCCUAGAAAGGCCAAAACCUAGGAAGAAACCUAGAGAGGAACCAGGCUAUGAGGGGUGGCCAGUCUUCUUCUUGCUGUGCCGGGUGGAGAUUAUUACAGAACAUGGCCAAGAUGUUCAAAUGUUCAUAAAUGACCAGCAUGGUCAAAUAAUAAUAAUAAUCACAGUAGUUGUCGAGGUUGCAACAGGUCAGCACCUCAGGACUAAAUGUCAGUUGCCUUUUCAUAACCAAUCAUUAAAAGUAUCUCUACCACUCCUGCUGUCUCUAGAGAGUUGAAAACAGCAGGUCUGGGACAGGUAGCAUGUCCGGUGAACAGGUCAGGAUUCCAUAGCCGCAGGCAGAACAGUUGAAACUGGAGCAGCAGCACGGCCAGGUGGACUGGGAACAGCAAGCAGUCAUCAUACCAGGUAGUCCUGAGGCAUGGUCCUAGAGCUCAGGUCCUC
Long non-coding RNA from Oncorhynchus tshawytscha (Chinook salmon), 1992 nucleotides. Lineage: Eukaryota; Metazoa; Chordata; Actinopteri; Salmoniformes; Salmonidae. The record is from Ensembl.